Molecule: unclassified non-coding RNA, 374 nt
Filed under: soil metagenome
Description: partial contains 5.8S ribosomal RNA, internal transcribed spacer 2, and large subunit ribosomal RNA
Rfam family: 5.8S ribosomal RNA (bases 1-120)
Source: RNAcentral
GAUGAAGAACGUAGUGAAAUGCGAUAAGUAAUGUGAAUUGCAGAAUUCAGUGAACCAUCGAAUCUUUGAACGCACAUUGCGCCCGGCAGUAAUCUGCCGGGCAUGCCUGUCCGAGCGUCAUUUCUCCCCUCGAGCGCAGCUUUCCCCCCCGGGGGAGGGCCGCGCCCGGUGUUGGGGCGCUACGGAGGAGCCCAGCGCUCCCCCGUAGGCCCCGAAAUGUAGUGGCGGCCCCGCCGCGGCGCCCCCUGCGUAGUAGUUUUACAACUCGCAUCGGGUCCCGGCGGAGGCCAGCCGUCAAACCCCCCAACUUCAAUAGUUUGACCUCGGAUCAGGUAGGGAUACCCGCUGAACUUAAGCAUAUAAUAAGCGGAGGA